ACAAACACGGACAAAACAAUAAUUAAUACAUGGAUAUGUAUACUAUAUAUGUUACUUUGCAUUGUAUGUGUGUUUUGUUGUUCUCUUAUUAAUUUUUGGUUCUACUACU
Molecule: non-coding RNA, 109 nt
Filed under: Bigelowiella natans
Lineage: Eukaryota; Cercozoa; Chlorarachniophyceae
Source: RNAcentral